AUACAUACAUAACUGCAUACCGCGUUCUUCGUGAUUAUAAUCUUUGCUGUAUGUAAUAUGCGCAUAUUUUAUAUUAUCAAUUAUACAUUCAAAUUGAUACGUAAAAGAAAACCUGCGUGGCGCGACAAUAUUUUGCGAUAUUAAAAAGCUAGGCUUGUACAAAGCGCUUAUCAAAAUUAUGCAAAAACAACGCAAGUUUUAACAAAUUCGCCCUAAAUAUGUGCGCGAAUGUAUAAAAUAAAAUUGUUGCUCCGAUACGCUAAAACAGCUCUUCGCAUGUAUCAUUUCUAAUUAUCGCGUUAUCAUAUAUUAAAUUAAAAAACCGAUUAACAAUUUUUACACAAAAUGUAAAAUCAGAGAUAAUAAAACGUGUAUACUUAAACUCUCCGAUAGUUACUAUAAAUAAACUUACUCACGUGACACUUUACACGGAAAACGCAUCUCUCUGGCAAAAGGAAAAAUUGUAGUUCCAUCUUCCGAAAACUCACCGAUGAUCGGCCGAUCGUUCAACUCCUCUCCGGUGGUCACAGCUGUGAAAGCGUACGCCAGAAAUGAGCACAGAAGCCACAGAACGUUCAUCAUGAGCAACAACACAAAUACAGCUGUUAGAGGAGUGAAAGAAA
Long non-coding RNA from Ooceraea biroi (clonal raider ant), 623 nucleotides. RefSeq lists it as uncharacterized. The record is from RefSeq and is a predicted model, not a curated record. NCBI's taxonomy places the organism in Eukaryota, Metazoa, Arthropoda, Insecta, Hymenoptera, Formicidae.